Schistosoma margrebowiei is the source of this 45-nucleotide non-coding RNA. Lineage: Eukaryota; Metazoa; Platyhelminthes; Trematoda; Strigeidida; Schistosomatidae. The record is from Rfam.
AUUCAGCUGAUGUGUUCCAAAUAGAACGAAACGCGCGUCCUGAAU